Molecule: ribosomal RNA, 387 nt
Filed under: uncultured bacterium
Lineage: Bacteria
Description: bacterial SSU rRNA
Rfam family: Bacterial small subunit ribosomal RNA
Source: RNAcentral
GACGAACGCUGGCGGCGUGCUUAACACAUGCAAGUCGAGCGGUAAGGCCCUUCGGGUACACGAGCGGCGAACGGGUGAGUAACACGUGGGUGACCUGCCUCUAGCUCUGGGAUAAGCCUGGGAAACUGGGUCUAAUACCGGAUAUGACUCCACGGCGCAUGUUGUGGGGUGGAAAGCCUUGUGUGGCUAGAGAUGGGCCCGCGGCCUAUCAGCUUGUUGGUGGGGUGAUGGCCACCAAGGCGACGACGGGUAGCCGGCCUGAGAGGGCGACCGGCCACACUGGGACUGAGACACGGCCCAGACUCCUACGGGAGGCAGCAGUGGGGAAUCUUGCGCAAUGGGCGAAAGCCUGACGCAGCGACGCCGCGUGAGGGAUGACGGCCUCGG